AAAGGGACAUUUUCAAAAAUACCUUCUUCAUUAAGUGGUAAAAGACUCUUAUGCCCUUGUUCUUGAUAAAUAUAAUAAAUAAAUAUUUAAAUAAAUAAAAAUCUAAAAAAAUAAAAAAUAAUUUUGUUAAUUUUUUUUCGAGUUAUACUAUUUCGAAAUUCAAACGCUAAACUCUAAAACUCAACUUUAAACCGUAAACCAUCAAUCCUAAACCCUAUUUCUUUUUUGAAAUACGAACCCUAAACCUUAAACCAUCAAUCCUAAACCUUUUUUUUUUUGAAAUACGAACCCUAAACCCUGAAACAUCAACUCUAAACCCUAAACCCCGAAACAUAAACUCUAAACUCUAAACCCUAAACCCUAAACCUUCAACUCUAAACCCUAAAUCAUCAACUCUAAACCCUAAACCCUAAACUUCAACUCUAAACCCUAAACCAUCAACACUAAACCCUAAACCCUAAAAAGUAAACUCUAAACCCUAAACCCUAAAAAAUUAACCCUAAAUCCUAAGACAUCAACUCUAAACCCUAAAUCCUAAACCUUCAACUCUAAACCCUAAAAUCUAAACCCUAAACCCUAAACCCUAAAACCCUAGAGUUGGUGUUUUAGGGUUUACAUUUAAAGGUUUAGUGUUUUAGGGUUUAGGGUUUACGUUUAGGGUUUAGAGUUGAUGUUUUAUGGUUUAGAUUCGAAAGUUUAGGGUUUUAGGGUUUAGGGUUUGAAUUUUAGAAAAAUAUAGGGUUUAGGGUUUAGGGUUUAGAGUUGAUGUUUUAGGGUUUAGAUUUGAAGGUUUAGAGUUUAGGGUUUAGAGUUGGUGUUUCGUGGUUUAGGGUUUAGAGUUGAUGUUUCACGGUUUAGGGUUUAGAGUUCACGGUUUAGGGUUUAGAGUUGAUGAUUUAGGGUUUAAAGUUGAUGUUUUAAGUUUAGAUUUAGGGUUUAGGGUUUACGUGUAGGGUUUAGAGUUGAUGUUUUAGGGUUUAGAUUUAAAAGUUUAGGGUUUAGGGUUUAGGGUUUAGAAUUGAUGUUUUGGGGUUUAGGGUUUAGAGUUGAUGUUUCAUAGUUUAGGGUUUAAAGUUGAUGAUUUGGGGUUUAGAGUUGAUGUUUUAAAUUUAGAUCAGUUAACCUUAUGUUUUUUUUUUGUCAAAGUUAAUCAAAUGGUUAGAAAUGUCUUUUACCCUUCAUUAAAGAUGGUGUUAAAAGUGGUUAGUGUAAACAUGGAAAGUGAUACUUUGAAAA
This 1236-nucleotide long non-coding RNA is filed under the name Brassica napus (rape). RNAcentral describes it as "long non-coding RNA (BNAP_LNC024133)". The record is from RNAcentral. Lineage: Eukaryota; Viridiplantae; Streptophyta; Magnoliopsida; Brassicales; Brassicaceae.